AAAGAUUAAGCCAUGCAUGUCUAAGUAUAAGCAAUUUGUACUGUGAAACUGCGAAUGGCUCAUUAAAUCAGUUAUCGUUUAUUUGAUAGUACCUUACUACAUGGAUACCUGUGGUAAUUCUAGAGCUAAUACAUGCUAAAAACCUCGACUUCGGAAGGGGUGUAUUUAUUAGAUAAAAAACCAACGCCCUUCGGGGCUCCUUGGUGAAUCAUAAUAACUAAGCGAAUCGCAUGGCCUUGCGCCGGCGAUGGUUCAUUCAAAUUUCUGCCCUAUCAACUUUCGAUGGUAAGAUAGUGGCUUACCAUGGUGGCAACGGGUAACGGGGAAU
RNAcentral lists this ribosomal RNA (328 nucleotides) under uncultured fungus. RNAcentral describes it as "SSU rRNA". It matches the Rfam family "Eukaryotic small subunit ribosomal RNA", at positions 39 to 370 of the family's 1831-position model. The record is from RNAcentral. Lineage: Eukaryota; Fungi.